This is a non-coding RNA of Anarrhichthys ocellatus (wolf-eel), 273 nucleotides long. RefSeq annotates it as small Cajal body-specific RNA 6. The record is from RefSeq and is a predicted model, not a curated record. The transcript has a single exon. NCBI's taxonomy places the organism in Eukaryota, Metazoa, Chordata, Actinopteri, Perciformes, Anarhichadidae.
GGUCAGUGAUGUUAUGUAAAAGGUCUGAAUCUCAGAUCCCCCUCGUCGGCCAUUUUGGCUCCCAGCAGCCCCUGCUCUGUGCUCCCAUCAUGCUCUAGUGGUGCAGUGGUGGUCCCAGGAGCUGCUGACAGACGGGAUGUGACAUCACAGUGCGAGUCUGUACAGAGACCGUACAGGCUCAGUGUGAUGAUGUCAUCCAACAGAACCAAUCAGUGAGGAGCUGGGGCUGAGGAGGUGGGGCCUGAGUUGUGAUCUGACUCUUCUGCUGAGACC